GGAAUAUUGCACAAUGGGCGAAAGCCUGAUGCAGCGACGCCGCGUGAGGGAUGAAGGCCUUCGGGUUGUAAACCUCUUUCAGUAGGGAAGAAGCGAAAGUGACGGUACCUGCAGAAGAAGCGCCGGCUAACUACGUGCCAGCAGCCGCGGUAAUACGUAGGGCGCAAGCGUUGUCCGGAAUUAUUGGGCGUAAAGAGCUCGUAGGCGGUUUGUCGCGUCUGGUGUGAAAACUCAAGGCUCAACCUUGAGCUUGCAUCGGGUACGGGCAGACUAGAGUGUGGUAGGGGUGACUGGAAUUCCUGGUGUAGCGGUGGAAUGCGCAGAUAUCAGGAGGAACACCGAUGGCGAAGGCAGGUCACUGGGCCACUACUGACGCUGAGGAGCGAAAGCAUGGGGAGCGAACAGGAUUAGAUACCCCGG
This 420-nucleotide ribosomal RNA is filed under the name uncultured Sanguibacter sp. Its description in RNAcentral is "bacterial SSU rRNA". It matches the Rfam family "Bacterial small subunit ribosomal RNA", at positions 358 to 790 of the family's 1533-position model. Lineage: Bacteria; Bacillati; Actinomycetota; Actinomycetes; Micrococcales; Sanguibacteraceae. The record is from RNAcentral.